GAUUUCUUUUCUUAAUUAAAUAUUGGCCGAAGGUUCUUAUGCGAUAAAGCUGAAGAAAAAUAUCAUAUCAGAUGUGGGACGAUCAUUUUUCUGAGAAAAGAACUUGAGAUUAACAUGAACGUAAUAAUUGUCAGGCUUUACUUCUGGAAUACAUCUUUGCAUAAACUAAAGCAUCCUCAUUGUCCAAGUAAUUAUCCCAGUGAACAAGCUAAAUAUCAUGGACAUCCUUGCCGCCGCCUACUGCUCGUAUUUACUGAUAAGACUAUGUUCUCAUUCAGGUUGGUUGCAAGCUAUCUAAUGAAUUUUGUAUGCUUUGAGUUUGCGAUU
This 327-nucleotide long non-coding RNA is filed under the name Elaeis guineensis (African oil palm). Its description in RNAcentral is "long non-coding RNA (EGUI_LNC011725)". The record is from RNAcentral. Lineage: Eukaryota; Viridiplantae; Streptophyta; Magnoliopsida; Arecales; Arecaceae.